RNAcentral lists this ribosomal RNA (1009 nucleotides) under Deltaproteobacteria bacterium. RNAcentral's name for it is "partial 23S ribosomal RNA". It matches the Rfam family "Bacterial large subunit ribosomal RNA", at positions 1092 to 2039 of the family's 2925-position model. The record is from RNAcentral. Lineage: Bacteria; Pseudomonadati; Myxococcota; Myxococcia.
ACUGGGAGGUUGGCUUAGAAGCAGCCAUCCUUGAAAGAGUGCGUAAUAGCUCACCAGUCAAGCGGGUUUGCGCCGAUAAUUUCCGGGACUCAAGUCAGCCACCGAAGCUAGGGCUGCGGAAACUCCUGCGGGAGCUUUCGUGGGGUAGGGGAGCGUUGCCUGUGCAUGGAAGCGGGGCCGUGAGGCCUGGGGGAAUAUCCCCUUAGCCCGUGGAGCGCAGGCAAGUGAGAAUGCCGGAAUGAGUACGCGCGAAACGGGGCGAGAACCCCCGUCGCCGAAAGCCCAAGGUUUCCUGAGCCAUGUCGAUCAGCUCAGGGUUAGUCGGCCCCUAAGGUGAGGCCGAAAGGCGUAGCCGAUGGAAAACGGGUCAACAUUCCCGUACCGGGCUAGUUACGCUUGAGUCUGCGGAGGGACGCAGAGGUGAAAGGUCCGUCAGGACGUGGAUUGUGCCUGAUGCAAGGAGGUAGGCGUUUCCGGGUAGGCAAAUCCGCCCGGUGAAGCCGAGAUCCGAUGCCGAAGGGGGAUUCGUCCCCCGUCAUGGGACUGUAAUCGUACUGCCGAGAAAAGCUUCGCAAACGAGUAGCUAGCGCGACCGUACCGUAAACCGACACAGGUGGGCGAGGCGAGAAGCCUCAGGCGCUCGAGUGAGUCUUGGUCAAGGAACUCGGCAAAAUGUCCCCGUAACUUCGGGAGAAGGGGAGCCCGUAUUAGGUGAAGUCCUUCGCGGACGGAGCCGAGGCGGGCCGCAGAGAAUCGGCCCAAGCGACUGUUUAGUAAAAACACAGGUGUCUGCGAAGUCGUCAAGACGACGUAUAGGCACUGACGCCUGCCCGGUGCCGGAAGGUUAAAUGGAAGGGUUAGCUUUCGAGCGAAGCUUUGAAAUGAAGCCCCGGUAAACGGCGGCCGUAACUAUAACGGUCCUAAGGUAGCGAAAUUCCUUGUCGGGUAAGUUCCGACCUGCACGAAUGGCGUAACGACUUGGGCACUGUCUCGACCAAGAGCUCGGCGA